RNAcentral lists this ribosomal RNA (826 nucleotides) under uncultured Aminicenantes bacterium. RNAcentral's name for it is "bacterial SSU rRNA". It matches the Rfam family "Bacterial small subunit ribosomal RNA", at positions 1 to 840 of the family's 1533-position model. The record is from RNAcentral. Lineage: Bacteria; Candidatus Aminicenantota.
UAGAGUUUGAUCCUGGCUCAGAGUGAACGUUGGCGGCGUGCCUAACACAUGCAAGUCGAACGAGAACCAAGAAGCUUGCUUUUUGGGGAAAGUGGCGAACGGGUGAGUAACACGUGAGUAACCUGCCCUCGAGUGGGGAAUAACUUCGCGAAAGCGAGGCUAAUACCGCAUAAUAUUUCGAAACACAAGUUCUCGAAAUCAAAGCUUUCGAGCGCUUGAGGAUGGGCUUGCGUCCUAUUAGCUAGUUGGUGGGGUAAUGGCCUACCAAGGUGACGAUGGGUAGCCGGCCUGAGAGGGUGAUCGGCCACACUGGAACUGCGACACGGUCCAGACUCCUACGGGAGGCAGCAGUGGGGAAUUUUGCGCAAUGGGCGAAAGCCUGACGCAGCGACGCCGCGUGGAGGAUGACGGCCUUCGGGUUGUAAACUCCUGUCAGAGGUGAAGAAAAUCUUCGGAUUGACGGUAACCUCAGAGGAAGCCCCGGCUAACUACGUGCCAGCAGCCGCGGUAAUACGUAGGGGGCAAACGUUGCUCGGAAUUACUGGGCGUAAAGGGUGUGCAGGUGGCUGAGAAAGUCGAUGAUGAAAUCCCGAGGCUUACCUUCGGAACUGUCAUCGAAACUGCUUGGCUUGAGGAUGGUUGAGGAAGACGGAAUUCCCGGUGGAGCGGUGAAAUGCGUAGAUAUCGGGAGGAACACCAGAGGCGAAGGCGGUCUUCUGAGCCAUUCCUGACACUGAGACACGAAAGCUAGGGGAGCGAACGGGAUUAGAUACCCCGGUAGUCCUAGCUGUAAACGAUGGGCACUAGAUGUUCUCGCUUAUUGCGG